CCUGCCCAAGAGAUCGGGAUAACACCUGGAAACAGAUGCUAAUACCGGAUAACAACAGAUGAUGCCUAUCAACUGUUUAAAAGAUGGUUCUGCUAUCACUCUUGGAUGGACCUGCGGUGCAUUAGCUAGUUGGUAGGGUAACGGCCUACCAAGGCGAUGAUGCAUAGCCGAGUUGAGAGACUGAUCGGCCACAUUGGGACUGAUACACGGCCCAAACUCCUACGGGAGGCAGCAGCC
RNAcentral lists this ribosomal RNA (237 nucleotides) under uncultured Lactobacillus sp. RNAcentral's name for it is "partial 16S ribosomal RNA". It matches the Rfam family "Bacterial small subunit ribosomal RNA", at positions 125 to 355 of the family's 1533-position model. The record is from RNAcentral. Lineage: Bacteria; Bacillati; Bacillota; Bacilli; Lactobacillales; Lactobacillaceae.